UAAUACGUAGGAGGCAAGCGUUAUCCGGAUUUACUGGGCGUAAAGAGGGCGUAGGCGGUUUGGCAAGUCGGAUGUAAAAUCUCCCGGCUUAACUGGGAGGGACCAUUCGAUACUGCUAGACUAGAGGGCAGCAGAGGGAGGUGGAAUUCCCGGUGUAGUGGUGAAAUGCGUAGAUAUCGGGAGGAACACCAGUGGCGAAGGCGGCCUCCUGGGCUGUUACUGACGCUGAGGCCCGAAAGCGUGGGGAGCGAACAGGAUUAGAUACCCUGGUAGUCCACGCCGUAAACGAUGGACACUAGGUACAGGGGGUAUCGACCCCCUCUGCGCCGAAGCUAACGCAUUAAGUGUCCCGCCUGGGGACUACGGUCGCAAGACUA
Molecule: ribosomal RNA, 377 nt
Filed under: uncultured bacterium
Lineage: Bacteria
Description: bacterial SSU rRNA
Rfam family: Bacterial small subunit ribosomal RNA
Source: RNAcentral